Long non-coding RNA from Alosa sapidissima (American shad), 355 nucleotides. RefSeq lists it as uncharacterized. The transcript is spliced from 3 exons. Lineage: Eukaryota; Metazoa; Chordata; Actinopteri; Clupeiformes; Clupeidae. The record is from RefSeq and is a predicted model, not a curated record.
UGUAGUGUGCAGAUGUGUGUUCCAGCAGAGGUCCAGAGGUGCAGACGCUGUAAUAUCUGCUGGGGUCCAGAGAUGAGGGAGUGGUUUUGGUCUUUUGUUUUCCACAAGAACACAGAAUAGUAGGCAGCUGAGAGGCAGCUGCCAGAUCUUUACAUGUGAGUGGUGGCUUAUAUGUGUGUUGAUGAGAUGGGAUUGUGUGUGUGUGUGUGUGUGUGUGUGUGUGUGUGUGUGUGUGCACGCGUGUGUGGAUGUGAUAACAACAUCUAUCUGUAUCUGGGGCCUUUAUAUUUAUGUCCUGCUGUAUACAGUGUGUGUGUGUGUGUGUGUGUGUGUGUGUGUGUGUGAUAACAGCAUC